AGUUUAAUAAUUCUCUAGUCCAAGUGCCUCUUUAUGACACUAUGGCUCAUUCUGUCCCAACAUGGAUACUAAGUUCAAGAACUUAUAAUUCUAGUCAAAAUCGAAGCAUGAAUCUUGAUUUCCUAUCAUCUCAUAGAAUAUUCGUCGCAUGCAUAUUAACAAAACACAUUGUCUCUCUCUCUCUACUACAUAGAGUAAAUUUUCUUGAUGCACAACAUAUAAGUUCUAAGCAUUCAAAAACUCUCAUAAAUGCUACUAAACAUGAAUAUGCAUGAAUUUAAGGAGCAUGAAAGCAUUUAACCACUUAGGAGGAAUUUCCUCCAAUUUCAAGGAAGCCAAACCCACCGAUGACAACGAAACUUCUCGUGCGCUCCCACGAG
Molecule: long non-coding RNA, 380 nt
Filed under: Ananas comosus (pineapple)
Lineage: Eukaryota; Viridiplantae; Streptophyta; Magnoliopsida; Poales; Bromeliaceae
Description: long non-coding RNA (ACOM_LNC007328)
Source: RNAcentral